CUUUAUGGCGAUCUGCAUGGGCAGCCUUCGGGCUGGCCAUUUGUUCCUGUGGUAUUCCUACCCCGUGCAGUUCGCCACCAUC
RNAcentral lists this non-coding RNA (82 nucleotides) under Candidatus Kentrum sp. TUN. The record is from RNAcentral. Lineage: Bacteria; Pseudomonadati; Pseudomonadota; Gammaproteobacteria.